UCAAAUGAGCACAUGAUCGAAUGACAUCACUUUAGGGCACGCAGCGUGUAUCCAUGGCAACGUUCAGCUGCAUAGUGACGGUUCUCCCGGUGAUUUCCUCAGACACGGCCUUGAGUUUUAGCUUUCAUCGGUCAAAAAGGCUGUGAACACUUUCGAAGCUAACAUUAGCAUGUAAAGCUGAAAUGAUUAAAGGUUAUAAAACAACGGGAAGAAUUGCCAUCGGACUAACCCCACAGCUGACAACCAGAGACGCGCGCGCGCACACACACACACACACACACACACACGGAAAGAGCACCGCAACUUUACAAUUGUUCAAUUAAAAUAAACGUAUUUUGCUCCAUAUGGCAAACUCAACUGCCAUAUUUUAUAUUUAAACAACUGGUAAAUGAGUGAUUUAUCUGAAGAAGAGAGACAAUGUUCUCCAUAAAGCUCCUUCUGCUGUUGGUGGCUGUACACAGUGUUUAUUGUCAGGUUGUGCUCACACAGUCUGAGCAGUCAGUAACUGUGUCUCCAAGUGGAUCUGUUAAACUGACCUGUGCAUGUAGUGGAUUCACUCUUAGUAGCUAUAGGAUGCACUGGAUCCGUCAGGCACCUGGAAAAGGACUGGGAUGGAUCUUUCACUAUUAUACAGACUCUAACAAAGGCUCAGCUCAGUCAGUGCAGGGCAGAUUCACAGCAUCUAAGGACAGCUCUAAUCUCUAUCUGCAUUUGAAUCAGCUGAAUACUGAAGACACUGCAGUGUAUUUCUGUGCAAGAGAUUCACUUUGUUUGUUUUCAUACAGAUACACUUACAAAAACCCAGAGGGGAGAGGGACUGUAUUUUAAUUUACUGUUUUUGUUAUUUAAUGUAAAAUAAUAAAUUACUCUGAUACCAUUUUUGCACAGUUUUUCUCAUUCUUAAAUUUAUUAAUUCUGGUUAAAAACAACAACAGCUCAGCAGCUGUCUCUAUUUUUUCUUAAAGGAAUAUUUUACA
Long non-coding RNA from Onychostoma macrolepis, 977 nucleotides. RefSeq lists it as uncharacterized. The record is from RefSeq and is a predicted model, not a curated record. Lineage: Eukaryota; Metazoa; Chordata; Actinopteri; Cypriniformes; Cyprinidae. The transcript is spliced from 4 exons.